RNAcentral lists this long non-coding RNA (1474 nucleotides) under Coturnix japonica (Japanese quail). RNAcentral's name for it is "lncRNA (ENSCJPG00005008224.1)". Lineage: Eukaryota; Metazoa; Chordata; Aves; Galliformes; Phasianidae. The record is from RNAcentral.
AUGCUCUACAUUUUCACUUUUCUUCUAAUAACUUUUUUCCCAUUUACAUUUAACAAACUUGUCAUUCUUCUAAGCCCCUUUUUCCUGCCUCCACCAAUAAAUGUAAAGAAGUUCUCCUCUGUCAAAGUCAGGAAAGCCUGGCUCAGUCUGUUGUGGAGAUUCUGCAAUUUGAUUUUGUUUCAUUACAAACACCUUCCUUGCCACCCCUGUAGGCUGGUCAACUAUCUCAUACCUAACAGUAGUUCUUCUGAGUCAUUCUCCUGCUCAGUAACAACUCAAAGUCACAGGAUCAUUUGGGCCCAUAUGACUGAUCUGAGUGAUGUGACUGGACCAAGAGAACACAGAAUAGUACUUUUGUUCAUUUCUUCUCCAUUUGUGAGCCAGCAGACAGGGGAACAGAAUCUGGCUAUGUGUGUGACUUUAAAAGGUACCGCUGAAUUGCAAAGAAAGACAUCUUAUGAUUUGUCUUACUGAGAUGCAUUGGAAACCAGAUUGAAAGUAUAUUUUUGUUUUUCAGGGGCUGUAGCAUUGAGGCAGUACAGACUAGAGCCUGUUAGCCUAUCCUAGUUCCUGUGCGCAGAUGAGCUUGAAUAGUUCUUCCAUGUUGCAUCCAGUUAGUAAGGAGGGUAUACAAGCAUGCUGAAAUUGGAAGGAAAACAACCCUCAUUUGCUCAUCCUCCACAGACCAGUCAGUGCUCUGCUCUUCACCAGCCCUCUCCGAGGACUAUAGGAACGAGCAGGGUGCCCACAAUGUUCCCUGUGGUUUGUUGGCUGCCAGCUGGAGCUGCUGGCUUGGUGUCUGCAUUGUGCUUCUAUAGCUUAAGAAGAAGGCAUCAGUUGUUGCUCUCACCAGGAUGCCUGCUGCUCUGUUGGAUGUCCCUAGGGGCUCCUCAGCAGUGAUUUCAAGCUUGAUUUCCAGCUGCAUGGAUGUGCGCAAAGUAAUAGCAUGGCCCUACUCCUGCCGGGAAUUUCCCAGGUACAAAUGUUGCCAAGGCUUCUAGAAGGUGUGGAGUUUGCUGCAUGUGCUCUGGUCAGGUGUAAAGGAGAAAUCCAGUCCUCUUGAGAUUUAUUUCUCCUGAAAGCUCUAGAAACCAGGAACAAGUAUAUAAAUUGCUUGGAUUUCACUGGGGAAAACCUUCUGGGCUGAAGACUCAGUAAGGGUUGUGAAACACUGGAACAGGCUGCUCAGGGAGAUGAUUGCCUUAUACUUUGUGAUGUUCAAAUUAGACUUGGAAAGGGCUCUGAGCACCUGAUCUAGCUGUAGGUGUUCCUGUUCAUUGCAGGAGAGUUGGACUGAAUGACCCUUAAAGGUCCCUUCCAACUCAAAGAGUUCUGUGAAGAGAAGUUCAGAAGUUGGGAUACUUUCUUCACUUUCCUCCUGCCAGUGUGCUUUGGGCAGGCUUUUAAUCUUCUGUUUUAGAGCUGCACUCUUCUCAUUCCCCCAAUUUUUCCUAUUCUACCUUUUGUCCAAAUU